Molecule: ribosomal RNA, 341 nt
Filed under: uncultured bacterium
Lineage: Bacteria
Description: partial 16S ribosomal RNA
Rfam family: Bacterial small subunit ribosomal RNA
Source: RNAcentral
CCUACGGGUGGCAGCAGUGAGGAAUAUUGGUCAAUGGGCGGAAGCCUGAACCAGCCAAGUAGCGUGCAGGAUGACGGCCCUACGGGUUGUAAACUGCUUUUAUACGGGAAUAACGCGCCUUACGUGUAGGGCUUUGCAUGUACCGUAUGAAUAAGGACCGGCUAAUUCCGUGCCAGCAGCCGCGGUAAUACGGAAGGUCCGGGCGUUAUCCGGAUUUAUUGGGUUUAAAGGGAGCGUAGGGCGCAUGUCAAGCGGGCUGUGAAAGGGGGGGGCUCAACCGGGGACUUGCAGCGGAAAGUGGCAGGAUUGAGGAAAGGAGAGGUCGGAGGAAUGAGUGGGGU